AUACCUUUCUCGGCCUUUUGGCUAAGAUCAAGUGUAGUAUCUGUUCUUAUCAGUUUAAUAUCUGAUACGUGAGUCAUUGGCUCACAUGAUAUUAACUCAAUUUUUCUAGGGGAAGGCCCAUCAAGGUAGCUUGCUACCUCGGUCCUCGAGUGUUGCUUUGGUAUUGCACUAUUGCCUUGGCUUGGCACACCCCAC
Small nuclear RNA from Ipomoea nil (Japanese morning glory), 195 nucleotides. It matches the Rfam family "U2 spliceosomal RNA". From Rfam's summary of the family: U2 is a small nuclear RNA (snRNA) component of the spliceosome (involved in pre-mRNA splicing). The record is from Rfam. NCBI's taxonomy places the organism in Eukaryota, Viridiplantae, Streptophyta, Magnoliopsida, Solanales, Convolvulaceae.